GAGUUUGAUUCUGGCUCAGGAUGAACGCUGGCGGUAUGCCUUACACAUGCAAUCGUACGAGAGUUUUUAACUCAAGUGGCGGACGGGUGAGUAACACGUAAGAAUUUGCCUUAGGAGGGGGAUAACAACUGGAAACGGUUGCUAAUACCCCAUAUGCUUUUGAGUGAAAUGAUUUCCGCCUAAAGAGAAGCUUGCGGCUGAUUAGCUUGUUGGUGAGGUAAUGGCUCACAAGGCGACGAUCAGUAUCUGGUUUGAGAGGAUGAUCAGACACACUGGAACUGAGACACGUCCAGACUCCUACGGGAGGCAGCAGUGGGGAAUUUUCCGCAAUGGGCGAAAGCCUGACGAGCAAUACCGCGUGAGGGAUGACGGCCUAUGGGUUGUAAACCUCUUUUUUCAGGGAGGAUCAAUGACGUGUACCUGAAGAAUAAGCAUCGGCUAACUCCGUGCCAGCAGCCGCGGUAAU
RNAcentral lists this ribosomal RNA (466 nucleotides) under uncultured diatom. RNAcentral's name for it is "bacterial SSU rRNA". It matches the Rfam family "Bacterial small subunit ribosomal RNA", at positions 9 to 524 of the family's 1533-position model. The record is from RNAcentral. Lineage: Eukaryota; Bacillariophyta.